GGGGGUAUAGCUCAGCUGGGAGAGCGCUACAAUGGCAUUGUAGAGGCCAGCGGUUCGAUCCCGCUUACCUCCA
RNAcentral lists this transfer RNA (73 nucleotides) under Seleniivibrio woodruffii. It matches the Rfam family "tRNA". From Rfam's summary of the family: Transfer RNA (tRNA) molecules are approximately 80 nucleotides in length. Their secondary structure includes four short double-helical elements and three loops (D, anti-codon, and T loops). Lineage: Bacteria; Pseudomonadati; Deferribacterota; Deferribacteres; Deferribacterales; Geovibrionaceae. The record is from Rfam by way of RNAcentral.